AGUACGUUCGCAAGAAUGAAACUCAAAGGAAUUGACGGGGGCCCGCACAAGCGGUGGAGCAUGUGGUUUAAUUCGAUGAUACGCGAGGAACCUUACCAGGGCUUAAAUGCAGUCGGACAGGUGUGGAAACACGCCCUUCUUCGGACUGAUUGCAAGGUGCUGCAUGGUUGUCGUCAGCUCGUGCCGUGAGGUGUCAGGUUAAGUCCUAUAACGAGCGCAACCCCUGUGGUUAGUUGCCAGCGAGUAAUGUCGGGAACUCUAGCCAGACUGCCGGUGCAAACCGUGAGGAAGGUGGGGAUGACGUCAAAUCAUCACGGCCCUUACGUCCUGGGCUACACACGUGCUACAAUGGCAGGUACAGAGGGCAGCCACACCGCGAGGUGGAGCGAAUCCUUAAAACCUGUCUCAGUUCGGAUCGGGGUCUGCAACUCGACCCCGUGAAGCUGGAAUCGCUAGUAAUCGGAUAUCAGCCAUGAUCCGGUGAAUACGUUCCCGGGCCUUGUACACACCGCCCGUCAAGCCAUGGAAGCUGGGGGUACCUGAAGUCGGUGACCGCAAGGAGCUGCCUAGGGUAAAACCGGUAACUGGGGCUAAGUCGUAACAAGGUAACC
RNAcentral lists this ribosomal RNA (611 nucleotides) under uncultured marine bacterium. Its description in RNAcentral is "bacterial SSU rRNA". It matches the Rfam family "Bacterial small subunit ribosomal RNA", at positions 879 to 1501 of the family's 1533-position model. The record is from RNAcentral.